GCUCCUCGGCUGGCAGCCGCUCCACUCCGGCUACAGCCCCGGCUUCUUCCUACUCCCCGUGCCCGGCACCGCCACUUCCGCCUCCGCCCCCCUCCAGCGCGACCCGCUCCAGCAGCUGGAUACCAGACCACGCUUUCCGAAGGGCGGGAUUGGCGGACUCGCGGGCAGGGGGCAGGACAAAAGGCGCGGAUUGGUGGCGUGAGAAGCCCAAAGGGGUGGAGCCAAGGCCAGCGAUUGGCCGAGCAAGUGGGAAGGGACGUGCAGAGCUGCUUUGCCGAGCCGAGGAACGGAUUUAGUCUGGAGUCCGGGGGCAGAGUCGAGUCUCCGGAUUGGUUUGGAGCGGACUUGGGGGAGGGGAUACGAAUGCAAAGAAGGGGGCAAGGGCAGGAUUGACAGAAAGAGACUGGAAGAGGAGCUGAUCUUGAGCUGGCGGGAGCGAUUACUGGUCUCAAAGGCAAAAAGGAGGAAAACUCGGAAGAUAGGCGCAGCUUCCGGUCAGCCAGCUUGGGCAUGGGGCCACCCCCGACACCAGGUCCGGAGAAGGCAGACAGCAAGACGAUGACACCGAGGAACACCAGGGACCAGGCCAUCGUGGACUGUGAGCAAGAGAGUACCUGGGCUCCUCUGCUGUCCCCUCUGGCGACAGAAGCAGGAGGAGCCUGUAAGGAAAACCACCUUGGAAUUUCCUGUGCUGUGGGGCAGGAGAACAAGGCAGCCCUUUGAUGACCAGAAACAACUCAGCCCUGG
Rhinopithecus roxellana (golden snub-nosed monkey) is the source of this 747-nucleotide long non-coding RNA. RefSeq lists it as uncharacterized. The transcript has 3 exons. The record is from RefSeq and is a predicted model, not a curated record. NCBI's taxonomy places the organism in Eukaryota, Metazoa, Chordata, Mammalia, Primates, Cercopithecidae.